Molecule: ribosomal RNA, 495 nt
Filed under: uncultured bacterium
Lineage: Bacteria
Description: partial 16S ribosomal RNA
Rfam family: Bacterial small subunit ribosomal RNA
Source: RNAcentral
GACGAACGCUGGCGGCGUGCCUAAUACAUGCAAGUAGAACGCUGAAGGAGGAGCUUGCUCUUCUGGAUGAGUUGCGAACGGGUGAGUAACGCGUAGGUAACCUGCCUGGUAGCGGGGGAUAACUAUUGGAAACGAUAGCUAAUACCGCAUAAGAGUAGAUGUUGCAUGACAUUUGCUUAAAAGGUGCAAUUGCAUCACUACCAGAUGGACCUGCGUUGUAUUAGCUAGUUGGUGGGGUAACGGCUCACCAAGGCGACGAUACAUAGCCGACCUGAGAGGGUGAUCGGCCACACUGGGACUGAGACACGGCCCAGACUCCUACGGGAGGCAGCAGUAGGGAAUCUUCGGCAAUGGACGGAAGUCUGACCGAGCAACGCCGCGUGAGUGAAGAAGGUUUUCGGACCGUAAAGCUCUGUUGUAAGAGAAGAACGAGUGUGAGAGUGGAAAGUUCACACUGUGACGGUAGCUUACCAGAAAGGGACGGCUAACUACGUG